UGAACAUGGGGGGUCCGCCCUCCAAGCCUAAGUACUCCUUGACGACCGAUAGUGAAUCAGUAAGGCGACUGAAUGAUUAAAAGCACCCCUGUUAGGGGAGUGAAAGAGUACCUGAAACCGUGUGCUUACAAGCGGUCGGAGCCCCUUCGGGGGUGACGGCGUGCCUUUUGCAUAAUGAGCCUACGAGUUACUUUUGUUAGCGAGGUUAAGCACUUCUGGUGCGCAGCCGUAGCGAAAGCGAGUCUGAACAGGGCGUUUUAGUUCGUUGGAUUAGACCCGAAACCGAGUGAUCUAGCCAUGGCCAGG
Molecule: ribosomal RNA, 306 nt
Filed under: uncultured Stichotrichia
Lineage: Eukaryota; Ciliophora; Spirotrichea
Description: partial Bacterial large subunit ribosomal RNA
Rfam family: Bacterial large subunit ribosomal RNA
Source: RNAcentral